ACGCUGGCGGCAUGCCUAACACAUGCAAGUCGAACGAGAAAGCUUCUUCGGAAGUGAUUAAAGUGGCGCACGGGUGAGUAACGCGUAGACAAUCUGCCCUUCAGUCCGGGACAACUUUCCGAAAGGGGAGCUAAUACCGGAUAACAAUGUUUAACAUAAGUUUAAUAUUUGAAAGCUCCGGCGCUGAUGGAUGAGUCUGCGUCCCAUUAGCUUGUUGGUGCGGUAGUGGCGCACCAAGGCUACGAUGGGUAGCGGGUUUGAGAGGACGAUCCGCCACACUGGAACUGAGACACGGUCCAGACUCCUACGGGAGGCAGCAGUGGGGAAUAUUGCACAAUGGAGGAAACUCUGAUGCAGCAAUGUCGCGUGAGUGAAGAAGGCCCUUGGGUCGUAAAGCUCUUUUAUGGGGGAAGAUAAUGACGGUACCCCAGGAAUAAGCACCGGCUAACUACGUGCCAGCAGCCGCGGUAAUACGUAGGGUGCGAGCGUUGUUCGGAAUUACUGGGCGUAAAGGGCGCGCAGGCGGAGGUGUAAGUCGGAGGUGAAAGCCCGGGGCUCAACCCCGGAGGGUCUUUCGAAACUGCAUCUCUAGAGAGGGUCAGGGGCCGGCAGAAUUCCUGGUGUAGAGGUGAAAUUCGUAGAUAUCAGGAGGAAUACCGGUGGCGAAAGCGGCCGGCUGGGGCCACUCUGACGCUGAGGCGCGAAAGCGUGGGGAGCAAACAGGAUUAGAUACCCUGGUAGUCCACGCCGUAAACGAUGAGCACUGGACGUUCGGAGGGUUCGACCCUUCUGGGUGUUUCAGCUAACGCAUUAAGUGCUCCGCCUGGGGAGUACGGUC
RNAcentral lists this ribosomal RNA (838 nucleotides) under uncultured Pseudomonadota bacterium. Its description in RNAcentral is "bacterial SSU rRNA". It matches the Rfam family "Bacterial small subunit ribosomal RNA", at positions 33 to 887 of the family's 1533-position model. The record is from RNAcentral. Lineage: Bacteria; Pseudomonadati; Pseudomonadota.